UGCUAUAAUGCAAGUCGAGCGGACCGACGGGAGCUUGCUCCCUUAGGUCAGCGGCGGACGGGUGAGUAACACGUGGGUAACCUGCCUGUAAGACUGGGAUAACUCCGGGAAACCGGGGCUAAUACCGGAUGCUUGAUUGAACCGCAUGGUUCAAUCAUAAAAGGUGGCUUUUAGCUACCACUUGCAGAUGGACCCGCGGCGCAUUAGCUAGUUGGUGAGGUAACGGCUCACCAAGGCGACGAUGCGUAGCCGACCUGAGAGGGUGAUCGGCCACACUGGGACUGAGACACGGCCCAGACUCCUACGGGAGGCAGCAGUAGGGAAUCUUCCGCAAUGGACGAAAGUCUGACGGAGCAACGCCGCGUGAGUGAUGAAGGUUUUCGGAUCGUAAAACUCUGUUGGUAGGGAAGAACAAGUACCGUUCGAAUAGGGCGGCACCUUGACGGUACCUAACCAGAAAGCCACGGCUAACUACGUGCCAGCAGCCGCGGUAAUACGUAGGUGGCAAGCGUUGUCCGGAAUUAUUGGGCGUAAAGCGCGCGCAGGCGGUUUCUUAAGUCUGAUGUGAAAGCCCCCGGCUCAACCGGGGAGGGUCAUUGGAAACUGGGGAACUUGAGUGCAGAAGAAGAGAGUGGAAUUCCACGUGUAGCGGUGAAAUGCGUAGAGAUGUGGAGGAACACCAGUGGCGAAGGCGACUCUCUGGUCUGUAACUGACGCUGAAGCGCGAAAGCGUGGGGAGCGAACAGGAUUAGAUACCCUGGUAGUCCACGCCGUAAACGAUGAGUGCUAAGUGUUAGAGGGUUUCCGCCCUUUAGUGCUGCAGCAAACGCAUUAAGCACUCCGCCUGGGGAGUACGGUCGCAAGACUGAAACUCAAAGGAAUUGACGGGGGCCCGCACAAGCGGUGGAGCAUGUGGUUUAAUUCGAAGCAACGCGAAGAACCUUACCAGGUCUUGACAUCCUCUGACAACCCUAGAGAUAGGGCUUCCCCUUCGGGGGCGGAGUG
RNAcentral lists this ribosomal RNA (1005 nucleotides) under Bacillus licheniformis. RNAcentral's name for it is "bacterial SSU rRNA". It matches the Rfam family "Bacterial small subunit ribosomal RNA", at positions 45 to 1033 of the family's 1533-position model. The record is from RNAcentral. Lineage: Bacteria; Bacillati; Bacillota; Bacilli; Caryophanales; Bacillaceae.